This 324-nucleotide ribosomal RNA is filed under the name uncultured bacterium. RNAcentral's name for it is "bacterial SSU rRNA". It matches the Rfam family "Bacterial small subunit ribosomal RNA", at positions 28 to 334 of the family's 1533-position model. The record is from RNAcentral.
GAUGAACGCUGGCGGCGUGCCUAACACAUGCAAGUCGAGCGAAGCGCCUUACUUGAUUUCUUCGGGAUGAAAGUAUUGUGACUGAGCGGGCGACGGGUGAGGUGCGACGUAGGACUGCUCAGACUGGAUAACUACCGGAACGGUAGCUAAUACCGGAUAAUUUCUUUCCUCUCCUGAAGAGAGAAUGAAAGGCGGAGCAAUCUGCUACUUGGGGAUGGGCCUGCGGCGCAUUAGCUAGUUGGUGAGGUAACGGCUCACCAAGGCGACGAUGCGUAGCCGACCUGAGAGGGUGAACGGCCACACUGGGACUGAGACACGGCCCAG